AAGGCUGUAGCUCUGGCCCCCUUGGGUAUAUGUGCACGUCUCUUGUUCCU
This 50-nucleotide ribosomal RNA is filed under the name Amanita torrendii. RNAcentral describes it as "partial 18S ribosomal RNA". Lineage: Eukaryota; Fungi; Basidiomycota; Agaricomycetes; Agaricales; Amanitaceae. The record is from RNAcentral.